RNAcentral lists this transfer RNA (85 nucleotides) under Candidatus Firestonebacteria bacterium RIFOXYA2_FULL_40_8. Its description in RNAcentral is "tRNA-Leu". It matches the Rfam family "tRNA". From Rfam's summary of the family: Transfer RNA (tRNA) molecules are approximately 80 nucleotides in length. Lineage: Bacteria; Candidatus Firestoneibacteriota. The record is from RNAcentral.
GCCGGGAUGGCGGAACUUGGUAGACGCAGAGGACUCAAAAUCCUCCGUUCGCAAGGGCAUGAGAGUUCAAUUCUCUCUCCCGGCA